RNAcentral lists this transfer RNA (77 nucleotides) under Sphaerodactylus townsendi. RNAcentral's name for it is "tRNA-Ala". It matches the Rfam family "tRNA". From Rfam's summary of the family: Transfer RNA (tRNA) molecules are approximately 80 nucleotides in length. Their secondary structure includes four short double-helical elements and three loops (D, anti-codon, and T loops). Lineage: Eukaryota; Metazoa; Chordata; Lepidosauria; Squamata; Sphaerodactylidae. The record is from RNAcentral.
GGGGAUGGGCUGUGGCUCAGCGGCAGAGCAUCUGUCUAGCACGCAGAAGGUCCCAGGUUCAGCCCCAGGCAUCCCCU